UUUAAUUGAAGAGUUUGAUCAUGGCUCAGAUUGAACGCUGGCGGCAGGCCUAACACAUGCAAGUCGAGCGGCAGCGACUUAACUGAACCUUCGGGGAACGUUAAGGGCGGCGA
This 113-nucleotide ribosomal RNA is filed under the name Photobacterium damselae. Its description in RNAcentral is "partial 16S ribosomal RNA". It matches the Rfam family "Bacterial small subunit ribosomal RNA", at positions 1 to 101 of the family's 1533-position model. The record is from RNAcentral. RNAcentral also lists the same sequence under 1 other name. Lineage: Bacteria; Pseudomonadati; Pseudomonadota; Gammaproteobacteria; Vibrionales; Vibrionaceae.